This 253-nucleotide ribosomal RNA is filed under the name uncultured bacterium. RNAcentral's name for it is "partial 16S ribosomal RNA". It matches the Rfam family "Bacterial small subunit ribosomal RNA", at positions 524 to 776 of the family's 1533-position model. The record is from RNAcentral.
UACGAAGGGGGCUAGCGUUGUUCGGAAUUACUGGGCGUAAAGCGCGCGCAGGCGGCUAUCCAAGUCAGUGGUGAAAGCCCGGAGCUCAACUCCGGAACUGCCAUUGAUACUGUUUAGCUUGAGUACGAGAGAGGUAAGUGGAAUUCCCAGUGUAGCGGUGAAAUGCGUAGAUAUUGGGAAGAACACCGGUGGCGAAGGCGGCUCACUGGCUCGUAUCUGACGCUCAGGCGCGACAGCGUGGGUAUCAAACAGG